This 301-nucleotide unclassified non-coding RNA is filed under the name Hevea brasiliensis (rubber tree). The record is from RNAcentral. Lineage: Eukaryota; Viridiplantae; Streptophyta; Magnoliopsida; Malpighiales; Euphorbiaceae.
CUGAAUAAUAAAGCAUAUAGCAAAUUAGAAAGAGUUAAAAAGUCAGAUCUUUGUAAAUCAAAUCACCCUGAACAGAGAAACCCAGGAGGAAAGCCUAUGGGAGCUGAUUUAAGAAGGGAAUCAAACAGCUCACCGGGUUUUGCUACAAGAGCCCCUGCAUCUGCCAUAAUUAAUACACUUUCAAUCCACAAAUGCACCAAAAAUGAAAAUGAAAAGUGAAGAAUAGUUCUGUUAUAGAAAUCUGUAAGCUAGUGCUCAAUUUGCACAGUUACAUGAUGAAUCUUGUAUGUUUUUUCACAGU